RNAcentral lists this ribosomal RNA (558 nucleotides) under uncultured archaeon. RNAcentral describes it as "bacterial SSU rRNA". It matches the Rfam family "Archaeal small subunit ribosomal RNA", at positions 23 to 581 of the family's 1478-position model. The record is from RNAcentral.
GUUACUGCUAUCGGUGUUCGCCUAAGCCAUGCGAGUCAUAUGUUCUUCGGAACAUGGCGUACUGCUCAGUAACACGUGGAUAACCUGCCCUUGGGUCCGGCAUAACCCCGGGAAACUGGGGAUAAUUCCGGAUAACGCACAUAUGCUGGAAUGCUUUAUGCGUCAAAUGGAUUCGUCCGCCCAAGGAUGGGUCUGCGGCCUAUCAGGUAGUAGUGGGUGUAAUGUACCUACUAGCCUACGACGGGUACGGGUUGUGAGAGCAAGAGCCCGGAGAUGGAUUCUGAGACAUGAAUCCAGGCCCUACGGGGCGCAGCAGGCGCGAAAACUUUACAAUGCGGGAAACCGUGAUAAGGGGACACCGAGUGCCAGCAUCAUAUGCUGGCUGUCCGGGUGUGUAAAAUACACCUGUUAGCAAGGGCCGGGCAAGACCGGUGCCAGCCGCCGCGGUAACACCGGCGGCCCGAGUGGUGAUCGUGAUUAUUGGGUCUAAAGGGUCCGUAGCCGGUUUGGUCAGUCCUCCGGGAAAUCUGACGGCUUAACCGUUAGGCUUUCGGGGGA